CCUACGGGGGGGCUGCAGUAAGGAAUAUUGGUCAAUGGAGGAAACUCUGAACCAGCCAUCCCGCGUGAAGGAUGAAGGGGCUCUGCCUUGUAAACUUCUUUUGUCUGGGGCGAAAAAGCUCGAUUUAUCGAGAACUGACGGUACCAGAAGAAUAAGCACCGGCUAACUCCGUGCCAGCAGCCGCGGUAAUAAGGAGGGUGCAGGAGUUAUCCGGAAUCACUGGGUGUAGAGGGCGUGUUAAGGGCGUGGUGAAAGGCUGUGGCUUAACCAUGGAAUUGCCAUUGAUACUGCAGAGCUUGAAUGAGGUUGAGGUUGGCGGAAUGUGACAUGUAGCGGUGAAAUGCUUAGAUAUGUCAUGGAACACCGAUUGCGAAGGCAGCUGACUGGACCUAUAUUGACGCUGAGGCACGAAAGCGUGGGGAGCGAACAGGAUUAGAUACCCGAGUAGUC
RNAcentral lists this ribosomal RNA (450 nucleotides) under uncultured bacterium. Its description in RNAcentral is "partial 16S ribosomal RNA". It matches the Rfam family "Bacterial small subunit ribosomal RNA", at positions 338 to 795 of the family's 1533-position model. The record is from RNAcentral.